ACACUCCUGCGGGAGGCAGCAGUGGGGAAUUUUGGACAAUGGGCGAAAGCCUGAUCCAGCAAUGCCGCGUGAGUGAAGAAGGCCUUCGGGUUGUAAAGCUCUUUUGUCAGGGAAGAAACGGUGAGAGCUAAUAUCUUUUGCUAAUGACGGUACCUGAAGAAUAAGCACCGGCUAACUACGUGCCAGCAGCCGCGGUAAUACGUAGGGUGCAAGCGUUAAUCGGAAUUACUGGGCGUAAAGCGUGCGCAGGCGGUUUUGUAAGUCUGAUGUGAAAUCCCCGGGCUCAACCUGGGAAUUGCAUUGGAGACUGCAAGGCUAGAAUCUGGCAGAGGGGGGUAGAAUUCCACGUGUAGCAGUGAAAUGCGUAGAUAUGUGGAGGAACACCGAUGGCGAAGGCAGCCCCCUGGGUCAAGAUUGACGCUCAUGCACGAAAGCGUGGGGAGCAAACAGGAUUAGAAACCCUUGUAGUCCCA
This 473-nucleotide ribosomal RNA is filed under the name uncultured organism. RNAcentral describes it as "partial 16S ribosomal RNA". It matches the Rfam family "Bacterial small subunit ribosomal RNA", at positions 333 to 797 of the family's 1533-position model. The record is from RNAcentral.